AUGUCGUCCGACGAGGGGGUCAGGGAGGAGGAGCCCGAUCUUUCCUCCAACGAAGUCAUCUACAAGUAUAAGGCCGCCGCCGAAAUCAUCAACAGUAAUCUCGCUCUGAAGUUUGUUGUGUUAGAGUGCAAGCCAGAUGCCAAAAUUGUUGAGAUGUGUGAGAAGGGUGACAACUUCAUAACAGAGCAAUGCCUUCAGUUUUGUGUCCUAUUGAUGGCUGUGGUGGCUCAUACACAUGUUAUCAAUGAUGGGCCAGUCAUCGGAAGUGCAGCUGAUGUUCUUGCUGCGGCAAACACAUCAGCCGAAGUGGCAUUGAGACUAGUUAGACCUGGAAAGAAGAACAAAGAUGUUGUCGAUGCAAUUCAGAAGGUUGCUGCUGCUUACGAUUGCAAAACUGUGGAAGGAAUUCUUAGCCAUCAGCUGAAUCAAUUUGUCAUUGAUGGUAACAAAGUGGUAUUUAGUGUUUCCAAUGUUGAUACGACGGUGAUCGAUGCUGAAUUUGUAGAAAAUGAAGUGUAUGUGAUUGAUAUUGUCACUAGCACUAGUGAGGGAAAGGUGAUAAUGAUAAUUGAUGUUAUUGGUUUCAUGAUAUUUUCCUUCCUUUUUGUUGAACUUUGUAAUUCAGAGCCAAAGUCAUUGUCUGAGAAAUAUACCACCAUCUAUAAGAGAGCUGUAGACAAGGACUAUCAGUUGAAGAUGAAAUCGUCAAACUACAUAUUCAGUGAGAUUCGCGAGAAGUUCACUUUCAUGCCAUUCACUCUUAGGGCAUUGGAAGAUAGGAAGCGACAAUUCUUAUCCUUGACAGAAUGCUGCAUUGAUGAACUCUUACAGCCGUACCCUGUUCUUUAUGAGAAGCAAGGCGAUCUUGUUGCGCACAUAAAGUUCACUGUGUUGCUGAUGGCAAAUGGAUCAGACAAGAUAACAUCACAUCAACUCAAAGGUGGUUUCCAAGGAUGUGCAAGCCCAGAACUAUUCUUGUGUUGA
This 984-nucleotide ribosomal RNA is filed under the name Triticum aestivum (bread wheat). RNAcentral's name for it is "partial small subunit ribosomal RNA". Lineage: Eukaryota; Viridiplantae; Streptophyta; Magnoliopsida; Poales; Poaceae. The record is from RNAcentral.